RNAcentral lists this long non-coding RNA (338 nucleotides) under Pandoravirus dulcis. Its description in RNAcentral is "putative ncRNA". The record is from RNAcentral.
CGCGCAGCGGGCACCCCAGGUAGCCGAGCCCAGUGGCGUGCAGUUCAGACAUGUGCUCGAUCGCGCCGGCCUCGAUGAGUUGGGCGUCGUGGCGCACGACGGCCCACGCGCGCUCCAGGAGGACGGUCGCCGCCGCGGCGUCUGCCGGACCAAAGGUCGCCUCCCCCAGGUCCUCGCGCUCGUCGCAAUCCCACGCGUAUAGAUCGUCCUCUUCCGUCGCCGACUGGGCAUGCCGUCGCGCCCGUUCCAUUUUUUUUUCUUUGUCUUUCUAGCCCUUGUUUUUCGCUGCCGCCCUGUGUCUUGCCACUUUAAAAAAAUCUAUUUCUCCUUGUGGACCG